RNAcentral lists this ribosomal RNA (565 nucleotides) under Salmonella enterica subsp. enterica serovar Enteritidis. Its description in RNAcentral is "partial 23S ribosomal RNA". It matches the Rfam family "Bacterial large subunit ribosomal RNA", at positions 1 to 597 of the family's 2925-position model. The record is from RNAcentral. Lineage: Bacteria; Pseudomonadati; Pseudomonadota; Gammaproteobacteria; Enterobacterales; Enterobacteriaceae.
GGGUUGUGAGGUUAAGCGACUAAGCGUACACGGUGGAUGCCCUGGCAGUCAGAGGCGAUGAAGGGCGUGCUAAUCUGCGAUAAGCGCCGGUAAGGUGAUAUGAACCGUUAUAACCGGCGAUACCCGAAUGGGGAAACCCAGUGUGACUCGUCACACUAUCAUUAACUGAAUCCAUAGGUUAAUGAGGCGAACCGGGGGAACUGAAACAUCUAAGUACCCCGAGGAAAAGAAAUCAACCGAGAUUCCCCCAGUAGCGGCGAGCGAACGGGGAGGAGCCCAGAGCCUGAAUCAGCAUGUGUGUUAGUGGAAGCGUCUGGAAAGGCGCGCGAUACAGGGUGACAGCCCCGUACACAAAAGCGCAUGUGCUGUGAGCUCGAUGAGUAGGGCGGGACACGUGGUAUCCUGUCUGAAUAUGGGGGGACCAUCCUCCAAGGCUAAAUACUCCUGACUGACCGAUAGUGAACCAGUACCGUGAGGGAAAGGCGAAAAGAACCCCGGCGAGGGGAGUGAAAAAGAACCUGAAACCGUGUACGUACAAGCAGUGGGAGCACCCUUUGGGUGUGAC